Eriocheir sinensis (Chinese mitten crab) is the source of this 294-nucleotide long non-coding RNA. RefSeq lists it as uncharacterized. The transcript is spliced from 3 exons. The record is from RefSeq and is a predicted model, not a curated record. NCBI's taxonomy places the organism in Eukaryota, Metazoa, Arthropoda, Malacostraca, Decapoda, Varunidae.
GGGUAUAUCCAAAGGGAUAUCCCAAAAUGACACAGCCCUCAUGGAAGCAGACUUGGAUGAUGAUGCCUCCAGCACCAGCAAGGUGGGUCGUCUUGAGCCACCUCCAACUGGAAUGGAACCCAGCCCGGCCAGUGGGGAUGUAAUGACGAGGGUAACUCAGCUCGUCCUGAAACCAUCUGCACCUCCUACACCUCCUCCACCUCCUCCACCUCCUGUGCUCAAUAGCGCUCUGAAUUCUGAUAACCACAGAGUGGCUAUAGCCUACGAGGAGGCAGUGGCAGCAUACAAGCGAAU